Molecule: ribosomal RNA, 253 nt
Filed under: uncultured prokaryote
Description: partial 16S ribosomal RNA
Rfam family: Bacterial small subunit ribosomal RNA
Source: RNAcentral
UACGUAGGGCGCAAGCGUUGUCCGGAAUUAUUGGGCGUAAAGAGCUCGUAGGCGGCCUGUCGCGUCCGCUGUGAAAUCCCGGGGCUCAACCCCGGGCCUGCGGUGGAUACGGGCUGGCUGGAGGCAGGCAGGGGAGAACGGAAUUCCUGGUGUAGCGGUGAAAUGCGCAGAUAUCGGGAGGAACACCUGUGGCGAAAGCGGCUCACUGGACCAUAACUGACGCUGAGGCGCGAAAGCUAGGGGAGCAAACAGG